RNAcentral lists this long non-coding RNA (230 nucleotides) under Mytilus galloprovincialis (Mediterranean mussel). The record is from RNAcentral. Lineage: Eukaryota; Metazoa; Mollusca; Bivalvia; Mytilida; Mytilidae.
GUAAUUAUAUUUAUUCUUCUAAAGCUGUUAUUUCUAUGACAGCUGGAAAUAGAAAGCUUGAGUAGUCACGCUUUUUUUUGGCAAAACGUACGAAAAAUAAUUUUACAGAUCUGACAUAUAACAAUAAAACAGUUUAUUGCCUGUUGAAUGUUUUAAAGAAUAUUUAAUUUUUAAUGAUUUCACAUUUCAGAAUUUCUGCAACACAACAAAAAAAUAAAGGAUGCAACAGC